CCCCCCGAAGCUUAGCACCUUGAGCAACCUAACUCAGCAGACAUGUCUUGUAAGUACAGUUCUUGAUGUGUGCUAAUGAAUUUAUAAUGGAAGCUUAUGUAGCUACUCACAGAAAGUCCUACAGUUCCAAGACCGAAUAUAACUACACUUGAACCCUCAGAUACAUCUGCAACAUUCCAAGCUGCACCAAGUCCUAGAGAACGGAACAAUGAACAAAGGUAUGAUCAGAAUGAAUAUGCGCACCAAUUCCCAGAACCAGAAAAAUCAAACACGGCAACUCUCAGAUAAUCUGGAGUUCUGAACCUCAGGAAUUACCUGCAGACACACCGCAGCUCAGCAGGCACACCCUGUCCAUUGGCACUGUCAGGCCGACCUUCACAGCACAUCCUGAAUGAACAACCGUGUACUCG
This 410-nucleotide long non-coding RNA is filed under the name Setaria italica (foxtail millet). RNAcentral's name for it is "long non-coding RNA (SITA_LNC000586)". Lineage: Eukaryota; Viridiplantae; Streptophyta; Magnoliopsida; Poales; Poaceae. The record is from RNAcentral.